RNAcentral lists this long non-coding RNA (2003 nucleotides) under Anas platyrhynchos platyrhynchos (common mallard). RNAcentral's name for it is "lncRNA (ENSAPLG00000019792.1)". Lineage: Eukaryota; Metazoa; Chordata; Aves; Anseriformes; Anatidae. The record is from RNAcentral.
GCAAUUUGGUGAGUUCCCCAGCAAGUCCACUACCCACAGGUGAGUGAUUCCCUCCAGCACCUCCUGUACCCCCAGGUGAGUGAUUCCUUCCUGCACCUCCUGGACCUCGAGGUCCCCCUGUCCCUGCAGCAUCACCUCUGCUGCAGACAUGGGGCUGUGCAGGGCCCAUGCACAGAGAAGAAGGGCUGGGAAUGUGGAUGGAUGCUGGGUUGAGCCAGGGAUGCUCCAAGGUCUACCCUGUGCACUGAUGAGCCUAUGGCAGGGAAGCAAUACAAGAGAUCAGGGUCUGCUCAGCAUCUCGGAUUGCCCCAACUCGGAGGUCGAAGGACUCACAGAGUGCUCAUGUCUCCCACAGGCAGCAGCCCCUCACACAAGGCCCAGCUCCCUUCCAGAGGCUCAGCCAUGCCCCUGGAGGUCUGGAUCCUGCACUCUGCCCUCAGCCUGCUCCUGCUGCUGUCUGCCCCCAUCAUCACCCUCCUCCUGGAGAGAUGCAGCCAUGGUGCCCGUGAGGCCAGGCAGCCUGGAGACGUCCCUGUCCCCAUGGAGCUCUGAUGUCCUCCUGGGCUCCAUGCUGCCCCCAGCCUGCUCCACAUGCUCAGAGCAAGACCCGCACACAUUUGCCAGACUCCCACUGCCGUUGGUCUCAAGGCAGCUGUGGCAGCAUGCCCAAGGGAUGUGCUGCCACUGCUCUGCUUCCCCUGGCUCAGCGCCUGCUCUCUGCUCACAUCAAGGAUUGCCACUGCAUGUGCACCCUCCUGGCUGCAUUCAACACGAACACCCACGUUGCUUUGCCUCCUGCCCACAGAAUCACAUCUCCAUCAAGGGAUCCUCCUCUGCACACCAGGAGAACACAAGGGGAAGGAGUCACGGCUGCACGCCCAGGCAGCCAUGCUCUGCAGCUCCUGCAUCACUCCAGCACCUCCCUGUGCCCAAGGUGCCGACCACAAUGGGCACAUCCCCAGGUGCUUAUGGUGCCCUGUGUGGAGGCACUUGGUGGGUAUUGGUCCUGUGGGAGGUGAAUUAUAAAGGAUUGGCUCAGAAUGCACCAUCUGAUGUUGCUGCUCUAUAUUUGAGAGGGAAGCCAGUGAGCAGAGCUGGGAGAGCUCCUCUUUGACUGCUGUGUGGGGCCAUGUGUCCUGCGAGGGAGCUGCUGUUCUCUGUGCCCUGGCACCCAAGAGUUCCCCUACCUGAUGGCAUUGCCCUGGCAGAUGUGUCAUGGAAAAGUGCUGCUGUGAGGAUGGCUGAGCCCAUGAGGAUGACUGGGGGUGGCCAUGCCUGGCACUGUACCCCACACCCACCCAUCCGUGUGCUGGGUCUUCUGUCUCUCAGCCGCACUUUUUUCUAUCCUGAGCCAAGGACCUGUCAUGUUUUGACAAAUGCUGUAACCUAGUGUACUUUUCCUCAUUGUAGUAUCAUUAUAAUACCAAAACACACCUCCAUCCCAAAAGCUGCCUGCCUCCAAUGUGCGACCAUCCCUCACUGAGCAUGAUCUCUGAAGUCUCGGAGCCUUUUUCUUUAACUGAAAUGGGAAAACGUUUCACCAAUCAUAACUAAGAUAUGCUUGACUAGAGUCACUCAAGCUCCACCUAAAAGAUAGAAAAUAAUAUAAAUUGGCCUAAGAGAAAGGGGAUGUUGGGGAAGAUACCACUGUCAGGGGAGAUACCACCCUGAGGGAAUACACCAUCCUGAGGACCUCCUGACUCCUGGGAUCAGUUGUCAUAGCUGAGCUUCUCUUCCACCUUCUGCCCCCAUUGAGAGGCCUUUGUGUGAGAUUUGAACACUUGGUUAUACUGUGUGUCUCUGCAGAAACUUUGAAAUCUCUAUAGAGUCUUUGUGCCUUUUAGCGCAUUAAUUUACAGGCCACUCACCUGUGUUACCUAUGUCACCUGUGUAUUUCAUGCAUGCUAGCUUGCUUUUGCAGACAGUAACUAUGGCUGGCAAUCCAAAGAACCUGUGUACCUGGUGCUGUAAUAAAUCGCACUUGAAUGCAUUGUUCCUACCCA